UACGAAGGGGGCUAGCGUUGCUCGGAAUCACUGGGCGUAAAGCGCACGUAGGCGGAUUGCUAAGUCAGGGGUGAAAUCCUGGAGCUCAACUCCAGAACUGCCUUUGAUACUGGCAACCUUGAGUCCGGGAGAGGUGAGUGGAACUGCGAGUGUAGAGGUGAAAUUCGUAGAUAUUCGGAAGAACACCAGUGGCGAAGGCGACUCACUGGCCCGUUACUGACGCUGAGGCGCGAAAGCGUGGGGAGCAAACAGG
RNAcentral lists this ribosomal RNA (253 nucleotides) under uncultured bacterium. RNAcentral's name for it is "partial 16S ribosomal RNA". It matches the Rfam family "Bacterial small subunit ribosomal RNA", at positions 524 to 776 of the family's 1533-position model. The record is from RNAcentral.